AGCAUACCAAAUGGCAAAUGUCAGCUCUCCAUAGUUUCUCUGUGAUUAAAGUUGCAUGCAGGCACACACGCACACAUAGGCCAUUUGGCUGUUAAUAUAU
Thalassophryne amazonica is the source of this 100-nucleotide long non-coding RNA. RefSeq lists it as uncharacterized. Lineage: Eukaryota; Metazoa; Chordata; Actinopteri; Batrachoidiformes; Batrachoididae. The transcript has 3 exons. The record is from RefSeq and is a predicted model, not a curated record.